RNAcentral lists this ribosomal RNA (1759 nucleotides) under human gut metagenome. RNAcentral describes it as "bacterial LSU rRNA". The stretch from base 892 to 1748 matches the Rfam family "Bacterial large subunit ribosomal RNA", at positions 2045 to 2912 of the family's 2925-position model. The record is from RNAcentral.
GCGGAGUUCGUCGAUGAGAAAGUCAGCACGAGCGAUUCGAUGCCGUUGGGGGCGGUCAGAUUCAGCGCGAAGGGCUCGGUGCACUUGCCGUCGGCGUCGAACAUCGAGGAGGUGAUCCGGAACGGUUCCGUGAAAAAAGGUUCCGUCCUGUUUUGGGAUGAACCGGAAAUGAAUCUGAACGCCUCCCACCUGCCCGUGCUGGUGAAAACCCUGACGGGGCUUGCCAAGACGGGGGUACAGGUUAUUUUGUCCUCCCACAGCCUGUUCCUGCUGCGGGAGCUGAUGAUUCAGCUUUCCGAACCCCGCAAUGCCAUGGUGCAGAGAAAGUUUUUCGGGAUGAGCGUGCCGCGGGGGGAACGUUCCGGGGUAAGGGUGUCCUGGGGGGAAUCCCUGGAGGACGUGGGACCUAUCGAGUCUCUUGAAGCGGAAAUCGAACAGGCGGACAGGUAUUUGAAGCUGAGUUAUGAGUCAUAAGCCGUCAAAAGCUUAUUACGUGGAGGGCGUCCACCGUUUCUGGAUCGAUGAAGGCUACGUGGUGUGCCGCAUUGAAUGUUCGGAUUAUUAUGCCCGGCAGGCGCAGAAUUUCUGCGGGGGAUGCAAGGAAAUGGAUUUUCUGCUGUAUCAUCCGGAACGCCGGGAUCUGUGGCUGGUGGAAGUGAAGGAUUACCGUUUUGACGCCCGGCCCAAGGUGGGGGAACUGGUCUGCGCCCUGAGCCGCAAGGUCCGGGAUACGAUGUUCCUCCUCCGGGCCGCUUCCGUGGCCGCUCCGGACGAGGAGCCGGCGGAGGGCAUUUCCCUGAGGGAUUUUUCCAUUCAGGCCUCGGGAGCGGAGACGCUGCAUCUGGGUGAAACGAGUUGGGCACUGUCUCAACCAGGCGCUCAGUGAAAUUGUAGUGGCGGUGAAGAUGCCGCCUACCCGCAGAAGGACGGAAAGACCCUAUAGACCUUAACUGUAAGCUGUCAUUGUUUCUUCGGUUUUAAUGCUCAGAGUAAGUGGGAGACGCUGAAGACGCCCUUUAGGGGGCGUCCGAGUCAUCAAUGAGACACCACCCUUUGAAACUGGAGGAUCUAACCCUGAGCCGUGAAUCCGGCCAGAGGACCGUGUCAGCCGGUCAGUUUUACUGGGGCGGUAUCCUCCCAAAGAGUAACGGAGGAGCGCGAAGGUGGGCUCAGCCCGGUUGGCAACCGGGUGUCGAGUGCAUGGGCAUAAGCCCGCCUAACUGUGAGACCAACAAGUCGAGCAGAUGCGAAAGCAGGCCCAAGUGAUCCGGCGGUAGAAAGUGGAAUUGCCGUCGCUCAACGGAUAAAAGGUACCUUAGGGAUAACAGGCUGAUCACGCCCAAGAGUUCAUAUCGACGGCGUGGUUUGGCACCUCGAUGUCGGCUCGUCGCAUCCUGGGGCUGGAGAAGGUCCCAAGGGUCCGGCUGUUCGCCGGUUAAAGCGGCACGCGAGCUGGGUUCAGAACGUCGCGAGACAGUUCGGUCCUCUAUCCUCUGUGGGCGUUGGAAAAUUGAGGGGUUCAGACCUUAGUACGAGAGGACCGGGUCUGACGCACCACUGGUGCAUCGGUUGUAUUGUCAAGUGCAUGGCCGAGUAGCUAAGUGCGGACGGGAUAAGCGCUGAAAGCAUCUAAGCGCCAAGCCCUUCCCAAGAUGAGUUUUCCCUACAGGUUCGUGGAAGACCACCACGUUGAUAGGUCGCAGGUGUAAGUGCAGCAAUGUAUUGAGCCGAGCGAUACUAAUUACCAAUUGACUUCAUC